Oncorhynchus tshawytscha (Chinook salmon) is the source of this 830-nucleotide long non-coding RNA. The record is from Ensembl. Lineage: Eukaryota; Metazoa; Chordata; Actinopteri; Salmoniformes; Salmonidae.
CUCUCAUCAUAUAGCAGGCAGCAAUGUAGUGGUCUGCCAACCCACAUCUCUCUCAUCAUAUAGCAGGCAGCAAUGUAGUGGUCUGCCAACCCACAUCUCCCUCAUCAUAUAGCAGGCAGCAAUGUAGUGGUCUGCCAACCCACAGCUCUCUCAUCAUAUAGCAGGCAGCAAUGUAGUGGUCUGCCAACCCACAUCUCUCUCAUCUCUCUCAUCAUAUAGCAGGCAGCAAUGUAGUGGUCUGCCAACCCACAUCUCCCUCAUCAUAUAGCAGGCAGCAAUGUAGUGGUCUGCCAACCCACAUCUCUCUCAUCAUAUAGCAGGCAGCAAUGUAGUGGUCUGCCAACCCACAUCUCUCUCAUCUCUCUCAUCAUAUAGCAGGCAGCAAUGUAGUGGUCUGCCAACCCACAUCUCUCUCAUCUCUCUCAUCAUAUAGCAGGCAGCAAUGUAGUGGUCUGCCAACCCACAUCUCUCUCAUCAUAUAGCAGGCAGCAAUGUAGUGGUCUGCCAACCCACAUCUCUCUCAUCUCCCUCAUCAUAUAGCAGGCAGCAAUGUAGUGGUCUGCCAACCCCCAGCUCUCUCAUCUCCCUCAUCAUAUAGCAGGCAGCAAUGUAGUGGUCUGCCAACCCACAUCUCUCUCAUCAUAUAGCAGGCAGCAAUGUAGUGGUCUGCCAACCCACAGCUCUCUCAUCUCCCUCAUCAUAUAGCAGGCAGCAAUGUAGUGGUCUGCCAACCCACAGCUCUCUCAUCAUAUAGCAGGCAGCAAUGUAGUGGUCUGCCAACCCACAUCUCUCUCAUCAUAUAGCAGGCAGCAAUGUAGUGGUCUGCCAAC